GGCGGCGUGCUUAACACGAUGCAAGUCGAACGAAGCACUUAUUUGAUUCUUCGGGACUGAUAUUUUGUGACUGAGUGGCGACGGGUGAGUAACGCGUGGGUAACCCUGCCUCAUACAGGGGGAUAACAGUUGGAAACGACUGCUAAUACCGCAUAAGCGCACGGUAUCGCAUGAUACAGUGUGAAAAAACUCCGGUGGUAUGAGAUGGACCCGCGUCUGAUUAGCUAGUUGGUGAGGUAACGGCUCACCAAGGCUGCGAUCAGUAGCCGGACUGAGAGGUUGAACGGCCACAUUGGGACUGAGAUACGGCCCAGACUCCUACGGGAGGCAGCAGUGGGGAAUAUUGGGCAAUGGGCGAAAGCCUGACCCAGCAACGCCGCGUGAAGGAAGAAGGUCUUCGGAUUGUAAACUUCUUUAUGAGGGACGAAGGACGUGACGGUACCUCAUGAAUAAGCCACGGCUAACUACGUG
This 471-nucleotide ribosomal RNA is filed under the name uncultured bacterium. Its description in RNAcentral is "bacterial SSU rRNA". It matches the Rfam family "Bacterial small subunit ribosomal RNA", at positions 38 to 507 of the family's 1533-position model. The record is from RNAcentral.